This is a long non-coding RNA of Lycium ferocissimum, 449 nucleotides long. RefSeq lists it as uncharacterized. The record is from RefSeq and is a predicted model, not a curated record. The transcript is spliced from 2 exons. NCBI's taxonomy places the organism in Eukaryota, Viridiplantae, Streptophyta, Magnoliopsida, Solanales, Solanaceae.
UGAUUUGGCGGGACAUGUAGUAGCUGUUGAAUGUACAUCAUUUUCCACGAAAAAAUCAGAUAAAAUUGGACUUGGAUGGAGCUGAACAAGACUUUGAGCGAAUAAAAAGAUGUAGCAGCCAUUUGCUCACUCAUAAUCCCAGCAUUGCAGAUGUUGGCGAUACCACGUACGUGUUUCCUCCCAUAUGGGGUUAAUCUUCCACAGUGUGCCUCAAAUAUCUUGACCUAUUCUCAGAAAAAGAGUAGUCAUAUUCUCAUCAAAAGAAAAAAAAACCACGAAAAUUGAACUCAAGUGCCACAAAGAAUCUUUGCUUUUAUCGCCAAGUUAAAUACUUACAUAGGAUUUAAGGCAAUCCCAGUUGUCAACAAGUGGUUGUCCAGCAGGUCGAACACUAUGUAGUGCCUCAUUACCUUUUUCAACACCAAAAAGAAGCUCCCCUAGACGUUUUA